UGGGGAAUUUUGGACAAUGGGCGAAAGCCUGAUCCAGCAAUGCCGCGUGUGUGAAGAAGGCCUUCGGGUUGUAAAGCACUUUUGUCCGGAAAGAAAUCCUUGGCUCUAAUACAGUCGGGGGAUGACGGUACCGGAAGAAUAAGCACCGGCUAACUACGUGCCAGCAGCCGCGGUAAUACGUAGGGUGCAAGCGUUAAUCGGAAUUACUGGGCGUAAAGCGUGCGCAGGCGGUUUGCUAAGACCGAUGUGAAAUCCCCGGGCUCAACCUGGGAACUGCAUUGGUGACUGGCAGGCUAGAGUAUGGCAGAGGGGGGUAGAAUUCCACGUGUAGCAGUGAAAUGCGUAGAGAUGUGGAGGAAUACCGAUGGCGAAGGCAGCCCCCUGGGCCAAUACUGACGCUCAUGCACGAAAGCGUGGGGAGCAAACAGGAUUAGAUACCCUGGUAGUCCACGCCCUAAACGAUGUCAACUAGUUGUUGGGGGAUUCAUUUCCUUAGUAACGUAGCUAACGCGUGAAGUUGACCGCCUGGGGGAGUACGGUCGCAAGAUUAAAACUUAAA
Molecule: ribosomal RNA, 559 nt
Filed under: uncultured bacterium
Lineage: Bacteria
Description: partial 16S ribosomal RNA
Rfam family: Bacterial small subunit ribosomal RNA
Source: RNAcentral